RNAcentral lists this ribosomal RNA (253 nucleotides) under uncultured bacterium. Its description in RNAcentral is "partial 16S ribosomal RNA". It matches the Rfam family "Bacterial small subunit ribosomal RNA", at positions 524 to 776 of the family's 1533-position model. The record is from RNAcentral.
UACGGAGGGUGCAAGCGUUAUCCGGAUUUAUUGGGUUUAAAGGGUCCGUAGGCGGGCCCAUAAGUCAGUGGUGAAAUCCUGCAGCUCAACUGUAGAACUGCCAUUGAUACUGUGGGCCUUGAAUUUGGUUGAAGUGGGCGGAAUAUGACAUGUAGCGGUGAAAUGCUUAGAUAUGUCAUAGAACACCGAUUGCGAAGGCAGCUCACUAAGCCUGGAUUGACGCUGAUGGACGAAAGCGUGGGUAGCGAACAGG